Long non-coding RNA from Parus major (Great Tit), 749 nucleotides. RefSeq lists it as uncharacterized. NCBI's taxonomy places the organism in Eukaryota, Metazoa, Chordata, Aves, Passeriformes, Paridae. The transcript has 2 exons. The record is from RefSeq and is a predicted model, not a curated record.
AACCUGCAUGAGCUUUGUGUCAGAAGUAAACAGGUAGAGCAAGAAAGUGAAUGUGCCACUUAACCAAAACAGGUCUGAAUGAAGACUAAGAAAAGCCAAAAUUAUCACCCAAGUAUACACAUCUUAAUAUCUGGCAAUAGCCACAGGUUUAACUCUCAGCCUCAACACUUAAGAAACACCAAAUAAAUGGAAUAAAGGGAUAGGAAAAUGUGUUCUAUAGCUCACUGCUCAGAGCAGGUUAUGGGCAUUGCCUAACUCUAUUCUAUUGUACAACCAGGUUCAUGCAGCAAACCAGGAUAUAACCUGAUACUUGAUUCAGUAGGACAAAGGGGUGGAAAACAGUGAGCUUGAAGAGCCUGAUUAGAACUUCAGCAAGUGCAAUUUUCCUAGGUUUCUUAAUUUCUUCCACUUUGGAGAAGCCAACUGAGAGCUGAGAAGGUGAAGGAUGGAACUUUCCUGUAACCUGCAGAACCACCAUUACUUUGGCUUCAACCCACCAAAUCAGGACACCAGCAGCCUCUUUCCUGGACUUCUGGUCACCUCAUCCCAACACUGUUACAACUGCUGCCUAUCAAACAAGUACUCUUUAACCAUGCUGCUCUAAAUCCUUACAAGAAUCAGAGAUGCCCCUGCUUUGCAGCACCUUCAGCAAGACUAAAGCAUUUACAACAUACUAAGAUAUUCUCCACGUCACAUCUUCAGAAUAUAAGAACUAUUUUGAAAUUUUAUAUUCUUGUUACUAUCUAAAA